CUUGGAACGCGGAGGAAAAUGCCGGAUC
Molecule: non-coding RNA, 28 nt
Filed under: Cricetulus griseus (Chinese hamster)
Lineage: Eukaryota; Metazoa; Chordata; Mammalia; Rodentia; Cricetidae
Source: RNAcentral